CAAGCGUCCACUCACCGAGUGGUCGCAGAGCCUCUCUUGGUUCACCACUUGAGCUUCCUUCCCAGCUCGCUCCUCAGCCUGCCGAAAAGAUCAUCGAAAUCUAUCAAGUGGUGGUUGACAUUUUCAUUGUGUUGACCUUUUUCAUACAACAACAAAUUAAGCUUGAAAAUAAGAAUGAGGAAGAAAGAUGCCUCGAGGCAAACACACGUCAGGAGACCCAACCACAAGCCUGGCGAGGUGGGCGGCAAACAUGAGUGCGACCCCUAUUGGCAGGCCG
Long non-coding RNA from Syngnathoides biaculeatus (alligator pipefish), 277 nucleotides. RefSeq lists it as uncharacterized. The record is from RefSeq and is a predicted model, not a curated record. NCBI's taxonomy places the organism in Eukaryota, Metazoa, Chordata, Actinopteri, Syngnathiformes, Syngnathidae. The transcript has 3 exons.